CCUUGCUCAUGGGUCACCAGCUCUAGCUCUUGAAGCUUUUGGCUUCCAUGUAAACAGUUCAGCUAAUCUGGGUCUGCCAAGUUAUAUCAAAGCCCAAAGUAGUCCAUGCAGAGAGAUCACAGGAAGAGGCUUGGUGGCUACAGAAAGACAGAAAGAUGCCUGACCUGCUUCCAGCUGCUUCAGCCCCCCCACUGUCCCAUCUCCAGACACGUCAAACUGCAACUGGAUGACAGACAUUAAGCUGGAACUUUGCAGGCAAGCCCUUUCUUAGCCUGACCCAUGGAGAAUUUUAAUUCAAGUGCAUCUACCUCUUCUCCACUGUUGACACCAGAAAACUCCCUUCCAUAUGCCCUUGUGGAACUCACUAUACUUCGUUCAACAAACGUUCAGUGACUACCUGCUAUGUGUCCAGAAUAA
RNAcentral lists this long non-coding RNA (417 nucleotides) under Homo sapiens (human). RNAcentral's name for it is "HSALNT0337725". The record is from RNAcentral. Lineage: Eukaryota; Metazoa; Chordata; Mammalia; Primates; Hominidae.